RNAcentral lists this ribosomal RNA (490 nucleotides) under uncultured bacterium. RNAcentral's name for it is "partial 16S ribosomal RNA". It matches the Rfam family "Bacterial small subunit ribosomal RNA", at positions 29 to 507 of the family's 1533-position model. The record is from RNAcentral.
AGUGAACGCUGGCGGCAGGCCUAACACAUGCAAGUCGAACGGCAGCACAAGAGAGCUUGCUCUCUGGGUGGCGAGUGGCGGACGGGUGAGGAAUGCAUCGGAAUCUGCCCAUUUGUGGGGGAUAACCUCGGGAAACCGGGACUAAUACAGCAUACGACCUACGGGUGAAAGCAGGGGAUCUUCGGACCUUGCGCAGAUGGAUGAGCCGAUGCCGGACUAGCUAGUUGGAGGGGUAAAGGCCCACCAAGGCGACGAUCCGUAGCUGGUCUGAGAGGAUGAUCACCCACACUGGGACUGAGACACGGCCCAGACUCCUAGGGGAGGCAGCAGUGGGGAAUAUUGGACAAUGGGCGCAAGCCUGAUCCAGCCAUGCCGCGUGUGUGAAGAAGGCCUUCGGGUUGUAAAGCACUUUUGUUGGGAAAGAAAAGCAGCCGGUUAAUACCCGGGUGUCAUGACGGUACCCAAAGAAUAAGCACCGGCUAACUUCGUG